Molecule: long non-coding RNA, 1333 nt
Organism: Passer domesticus (house sparrow)
Lineage: Eukaryota; Metazoa; Chordata; Aves; Passeriformes; Passeridae
Exons: 2
Source: RefSeq, a predicted model, not a curated record
GCGCCAACUUUCCCUCUCCCCGCUCCGGCGGGACCGGCCUGCCCGCGCCCGGCCGGGCCUCAGGCGCGCUGGAGCGCAGCGGCUGCCGGCAAAAGCAUCUCGUCCGCAGCCGGGCGCGGCACUGCCGCCUCCCCGCACCUUCCCGCCUCGGCAGGUGUGCUGCCUUGGCUGCUGCGCUGCUUGCUUCCCAUCUGCAUCUUCCCGACUUUCUGUUUUUGUUAGUAAAAUACACCGCUUAAACUAUCAAAAAACGAGGUACUUCUUUGAUGCAGACUAAGUUUUAAAACUAGGGGAAAAAUACAGAAGUUUUAAGUACCUAGGGACUAAGUGUUGCGCUAGAAGUAUGAAGAAAUGGUGCUGCUACAAAACGAUGAAGCUAGCAUGUGUUUCAGUUUAUUGAAGUUUUAAUAAGCCUGCCUGAAUACGUGAAAAAAAUCACUGAAGCUUAAAUUGCGAGUGUAACGUUACAUUAAUGUAGCAUUGUAGGUCAGCAAGAUGAAAGGUGUGGUUCUCAUAAUUAUCACAAUGCCUAGUAUGAUGUAACAAAACCACACACCACAAAACUGUGUAAUUCAUGACUCGACAUGGUGCAGGUAUACCAUUGUGAUAGCGUUGGGUUUUUUAAUCUCAGAUUCUUAGCUUUUCCUAUACCGUGCAUCACACUACACCAGAAAAGCUUACGGGAAAUAGUUCCCCAAAAUGAAAGUUCAUAAGUCAUCUUACACAUCCCUUGAGUGCGUUAUCAGCCUUUAGGUGCCACAGCCCACAGGGUGUCAGAGAAGAUACAGCCCUGCCCACGUGGUCUAGCGUUAUCGAUUGAGCAUGGCCACAUUUAAAUAGAGCAUGUCAUUUACCAAGGCUUCCAGGACACGCAUCUGAGGCUCUGCACAUGGUGUCACAGAAGCUGCUGAUUUGAGUACAAACUGCUGUGGUAUGAUGUAAGGUUGCUUGUGCUUCAUUUUUAAUGUUUCACCUCUGCAUGACAACAGGUUGAACUUCACCUGCUUGUGGAUAGAGGAUGUGGCAAUGUUAUGUUACCUGUAUGAGACAGUGGGAAAAUCAGUAGGGAGUUGAACCAGUGACACCAAAGUUCUUAUGUGAACUUCUGUGGUUUGGUGUGUGCAAGGAGCUCCUGCCACAGCCUAAGGGAUGACCAUCUAUGGAAACUCACCAGAUAAGUGCUCAGCCACAAGGUGAUCAAACUUUCUGAAGGCAACUGGGAAAUAGAGGACUAAAUGUCUGAAGAGGAGCUUAUGUUGGAAUUACUUUUUCAGGAAGAUGAUGCAAACAGUGUCCAGCUUUUGCCAUCAUACAGGCCUAGAAAUGUGCACUG